RNAcentral lists this ribosomal RNA (253 nucleotides) under uncultured bacterium. Its description in RNAcentral is "partial 16S ribosomal RNA". It matches the Rfam family "Bacterial small subunit ribosomal RNA", at positions 524 to 776 of the family's 1533-position model. The record is from RNAcentral.
UACGUAGGUGGCAAGCGUUGUUCGGAAUAACUGGGCGUAAAGGAUGCGUAGGCGGUUAAACAAGUUAUAUGUUAAAUAUAUAGGCUUAACCUGUAGAAAGCAUAUAAAACUGUUUAACUAGAGUGCAGGAGAGGUGAGUGGAAUUCCUAGUGUAGCGGUGAAAUGCGUAGAGAUUAGGGAGAACACCAGUGGCGAAGGCGACUUACUGGACUGUAACUGACGCUGAGGCAUGAGAGCAUGGGGAGCAAACAGG